CUUGGGGAUCCCUCUCCUGGAAUCCUAAUUGCCUCCGGUCCUCCUCCUCCGGAACUAGCCCGACCCGCUGAAGCUGCCCUCCCUCGCCGAACCACCGCCGGAGCAGCACACCAGUGCUGCCGCCCACUCCGCCCUCUUCCUGUUCCUCCGUUCCCUGUUAAGCAUCGGAGACAGUCAUGGAGCAGUAGGCAACAGGCGUAGGCGGCGCGACUUGGAUGGGGGCGGAUGUGGCGGAGUGCGAGGAGGAGCGCGUCUUCCCCGUGGCCGCGCCCCCGUAGAGGAGCACAGGGAAGGCCGACGCAGGCGCCAAGAGCCAGAGGAGGUCCGGAGCCUGCACGCUGCGGCCGGGCAACGCCUCGAGGAGCGCAUUGGUGGUGCUCCGCUCAUCCUCCCCUCCUCCUUCGCGGCGGCAGGAAUGAGCUGCCGCCUAGGUGUGCAUUUGGGCCAUUAGGAUGGGAGGUCGGGGAGGCGGGAUCGGAAUCGGAGCCUGCGGAGGAGCGGGUGGUGCGGCGCCUGGCCGCGCCUGGCCCGCGCACGCGCCGCUGGCCGGAAUCGCCAUGGAGUUGGUCAGUCGAUCUCUGUUCUUGAAUCCGUCGGGCUUCCCUCUUCCUCUUCCUCCCUUACCAGCCUCAUCUAUUGGUGGAGAAGCUGCACGUUCACGCGUCCAUAUGGAUGACGCCCAGCCGCCCACCAAUUGCUCGAGGAUAUACCUCCAAGGCAAGGUGUUGUCUGGACAACGUUUCCAGGAGUUGCUGCUGAAUAGCACUUGCAGAGCUAAUUUAACAAUCGAUUUACACAGACAGCCAAUAUUUACUGCAGUUCCAGCAAAUAACCUGUUAAUCCAUAUAUUCAAAUAUUUCAAGUUUUGAUGUUCAUGUAUCAUGAAUUUAUGACUAAUGGUAAAAUAUGCAGACUGCAAAUCCAUAGCAUAUGUAUCUUAUCUUAUAUUCUAACCUUGAAUCAAAUUUGAUUCUUCAAUUUAUUUGUAACUGAGAUGUUACAAAUAAAUUGGUCUGUGUUAAUUGCAGAACAACGUGUGCACAAACCCAUAAUAUACUCUUACAGGUAUGUCGAUCUCCAUUCCUUGAAUCUCACUACUACUUAUUUUAACAAAAUCUUACCAUGUAUUUUCAGUAACUAGCACCAGGAAGUGAUCCCAAAUAAGUAAAGAUCAGGAGCAAUAAAAAAGUUGGACAACCGUGAGCAACAGGAGAGGAAGAAGCUAAAAAAUAAAGAAUGAUCAAAGGUAAGCCAGCCUUACAUAAUCGACCUUUAUCCAUUAUCAUUUAAUUUGGAUUUAACUACUAUCUCCUUAUAUUUUUCCUCUGGUACGACUACACAGCUAGCUAGCAGCAAGCAAGAAUAUUUUGUUGUACAAGACAUGCCAAUAUGGAUCAUGCUUCUGCUUAUAAUUUUGGACACAACUUUGACUAACUGAUGCUUUUGCUUUUGGGAUACAUCUUUUGGUCGAAAAACCAGCUAACGACAUUCCAAAACAUGUAUAGCCACCAUAGAAUAACAUAGAUGAUAAAAUUACAUGUUAUAAGAUACCUACCUUUUGGAAACAAAGAUUAAGUUCACUGCUUUGAGUACUAUUUUAGUUUAUGUAACAUCAAGAUUGUAAGCAACAUAGUAUGAUGAUUUCAAUGUCUCGGCUGACACGUACUUUAUUAGUUA
Long non-coding RNA from Panicum virgatum (switchgrass), 1677 nucleotides. RefSeq lists it as uncharacterized. The record is from RefSeq and is a predicted model, not a curated record. Lineage: Eukaryota; Viridiplantae; Streptophyta; Magnoliopsida; Poales; Poaceae. The transcript is spliced from 2 exons.